GGGGUGCUCGAGUGACGAACGGGUGAGUAACACGUGAGUAACCUGCCCUUGACUUUGGGAUAACUUCAGGAAACUGGGGCUAAUACCGGAUAGGAGCUCCUGCUGCAUGGUGGGGGUUGGAAAGUUUCGGCGGUUGGGGAUGGACUCGCGGCUUAUCAGCUUGUUGGUGGGGUAGUGGCUUACCAAGGCUUUGACGGGUAGCCGGCCUGAGAGGGUGACCGGCCACAUUGGGACUGAGAUACGGCCCAG
RNAcentral lists this ribosomal RNA (249 nucleotides) under uncultured Actinomycetales bacterium. Its description in RNAcentral is "partial 16S ribosomal RNA". It matches the Rfam family "Bacterial small subunit ribosomal RNA", at positions 84 to 334 of the family's 1533-position model. The record is from RNAcentral. Lineage: Bacteria; Bacillati; Actinomycetota; Actinomycetes; Actinomycetales.